Long non-coding RNA from Sarcophilus harrisii (Tasmanian devil), 1142 nucleotides. RefSeq lists it as uncharacterized. Lineage: Eukaryota; Metazoa; Chordata; Mammalia; Dasyuromorphia; Dasyuridae. The record is from RefSeq and is a predicted model, not a curated record. The transcript has 3 exons.
GCUAAAGUUAGGAAGACAUUAGUUCAAAUCCAGACUCAGUUGCUUACUAAGUCUGUGACCCUAGACCAGUCAUUUAAUCUGUGUUUGUCUGAGUUUUCUCAAUGAUAAAAUGGAGUAAUUAUAGCCACUGCUUCACAGGAUUUUUAUGGUGAUCAAGUAAGAUAUUUAUUUUAAUAAAUGUUUAUAAGUAAUGAAUAGGAAGAUAGGGACUAUACAUGCAGAAAAUAUCUCCUAGAUAAAGAAACCUACUCUGUAAUAUACAUCAACACAUUUUCUACAACAUAGACUCUUGGAGAGUUGCCUAGAAAACCGGAAUGUUGUGACUUUCUUAGGGUCACUUGGUGAGAAGUGUCAUAGGAAAACUUAGACCCAGUUUUCCCCCCUAGUUUUGAGUAGAGGUCUCCAUUAACUAUGCCAAUUUUUGUAAAAAAUUAAAUUUACUAAAUAUGAGCAAAGGUGCUAAAAUGAUAUAAAAUAUAUAUUUCAGAACCUACUUGCAAGAAAGAGAUCAGAACCAGGCCUAAAACACAUGCGAUGUUUACAACAAUUAAAAAAACCAAAGCACUUUAAGAUUUUAAAAUGUAAUCAAUGAAAUGAGCAUUCAUGUCACUAGAGGAAUGAUGAUGGAUUUUAUUUCCUAUGUCUUGCCAAAGAUGAGAUGACUAUACAUAGACACAGGCCUGUUGAGGAUAAAAGUCCUCUAACACCCUUAAAUUGGAGAGUAAGGGAGAAAAGAGGAAAAGACAAAAGAGCAAUAAGGAGGAAGAAGAAGCAAGAAAGAGGAGAAGAAAAAUUGGCAGAAAGGAAUGAAGUGGGGACAGAAGUAAAGAGGGUUAAGAGAAGGAAUGAAGACUGAACAGUGAACCAGGAAGGAAGUGAAGUUUAUGAUUUAAAAAGUCUAGAAAGUGCCUAAUCAUCACAUAGUUACCAAGUUCUGAUUUGCUGAAAGCACAGAAUUAAAGUCCUGUAAAGUAAGAAGUGACUUUUGGGAAGACCUUUGGAGACCUAGCCCAGAUGUAAUUAACAUUGAGGACUGCACAACUAUGGCACCAUAUCUGGAUAAAAACUUAGUAGGAUCAAUGUGUAAUGUUCUGGUUAGUUUUCUGGAGGUCCUUGGACCAGCCUUUGUUUCAGCUGAGUAA